ACGCUAGCUACAGGCUUAACACAUGCAAGUCGAGGGGCAGCAUUUCAGUUUGCUUGCAAACUGGAGAUGGCGACCGGCGCACGGGUGAGUAACACGUAUCCAACCUGCCGAUAACUCGGGGAUAGCCUUUCGAAAGAAAGAUUAAUACCCGAUGGUAUAAUCAGACCGCAUGGUCUUGUUAUUAAAGAAUUUCGGUUAUCGAUGGGGAUGCGUUCCAUUAGGCAGUUGGUGAGGUAACGGCUCACCAAACCUUCGAUGGAUAGGGGUUCUGAGAGGAAGGUCCCCCACAUUGGAACUGAGACACGGUCCAAACUCCUACGGGAGGCAGCAGUGAGGAAUAUUGGUCAAUGGGCGCAGGCCUGAACCAGCCAAGUAGCGUGAAGGAUGACUGCCCUAUGGGUUGUAAACUUCUUUUAUAUGGGAAUAAAGUUUUCCACGUGUGGAAUUUUGUAUGUACCAUAUGAAUAAGGAUCGGCUAACUCCGUGCCAGCAGCCGCGGUAAUACGGAGGAUCCGAGCGUUAUCCGGAUUUAUUGGGUUUAAAGGGAGCGUAGGUGGACAGUUAAGUCAGUUGUGAAAGUUUGCGGCUCAACCGUAAAAUUGCAGUUGAUACUGGCUGUCUUGAGUACAGUAGAGGUGGGCGGAAUUCGUGGUGUAGCGGUGAAAUGCUUAGAUAUCACGAAGAACUCCGAUUGCGAAGGCAGCUCACUGGACUGCAACUGACACUGAUGCUCGAAAGUGUGGGUAUCAAACAGGAUUAGAUACCCUGGUAGUCCACACAGUAAACGAUGAAUACUCGCUGUUUGCGAUAUACAGUAAGCGGCCAAGCGAAAGCAUUAAGUAUUCCACCUGGGGAGUACGCCGGCAACGGUGAAACUCAAAGGAAUUGACGGGGGCCCGCACAAGCGGAGGAACAUGUGGUUUAAUUCGAUGAUACGCGAGGAACCUUACCCGGGCUUAAAUUGCAUUUGAAUAUAUUGGAAACAGUAUAGCCGUAAGGCAAAUGUGAAGGUGCUGCAUGGUUGUCGUCAGCUCGUGCCGUGAGGUGUCGGCUUAAGUGCCAUAACGAGCGCAACCCUUAUCUUUAGUUACUAACAGGUCAUGCUGAGGACUCUAGAGAGACUGCCGUCGUAAGAUGUGAGGAAGGUGGGGAUGACGUCAAAUCAGCACGGCCCUUACGUCCGGGGCUACACACGUGUUACAAUGGGGGGUACAGAAGGCAGCUACCUGGUGACAGGAUGCUAAUCCCAAAAGCCUCUCUCAGUUCGGAUCGAAGUCUGCAACCCGACUUCGUGAAGCUGGAUUCGCUAGUAAUCGCGCAUCAGCCAUGGCGCGGCGAAUACGUUCCCGGGCCUUGUACACACCGCCCGUCAAGCCAUGAAAGCCGGGGGUACAUGAAGUACGUAACCGCAAGGAGCGUCCUAGGGUA
RNAcentral lists this ribosomal RNA (1428 nucleotides) under uncultured organism. RNAcentral describes it as "16S ribosomal RNA". It matches the Rfam family "Bacterial small subunit ribosomal RNA". The record is from RNAcentral.